AUGCAAGUCGAGCGGAAACGAGUUAUCUGAACCUUCGGGGAACGAUAACGGCGUCGAGCGGCGGACGGGUGAGUAAUGCCUAGGAAAUUGCCCUGAUGUGGGGGAUAACCAUUGGAAACGAUGGCUAAUACCGCAUGAUGCCUACGGGCCAAAGAGGGGGACCUUCGGGCCUCUCGCGUCAGGAUAUGCCUAGGUGGGAUUAGCUAGUUGGUGAGGUAAGGGCUCACCAAGGCGACGAUCCCUAGCUGGUCUGAGAGGAUGAUCAGCCACACUGGAACUGAGACACGGUCCAGACUCCUACGGGAGGCAGCAGUGGGGAAUAUUGCACAAUGGGCGCAAGCCUGAUGCAGCCAUGCCGCGUGUAUGAAGAAGGCCUUCGGGUUGUAAAGUACUUUCAGUCGUGAGGAAGGCGGUGUCGUUAAUAGCGGCAUCGUUUGACGUUAGCGACAGAAGAAGCACCGGCUAACUCCGUGCCAGCAGCCGCGGUAAUACGGAGGGUGCGAGCGUUAAUCGGAAUUACUGGGCGUAAAGCGCAUGCAG
RNAcentral lists this ribosomal RNA (540 nucleotides) under Vibrio sp. RNAcentral describes it as "bacterial SSU rRNA". It matches the Rfam family "Bacterial small subunit ribosomal RNA", at positions 55 to 574 of the family's 1533-position model. Lineage: Bacteria; Pseudomonadati; Pseudomonadota; Gammaproteobacteria; Vibrionales; Vibrionaceae. The record is from RNAcentral.